GCGAAAAGAACCCCGGCGAGGGGAGUGAAAAAGAACCUGAAACCGUGUACGUACAAGCAGUAGGAGCCUCUUUAUGGGGUGACUGCGUACCUUUUGUAUAAUGGGUCAGCGACUUAUAUUCUGUAGCGAGGUUAACCGUAUAGGGGAGCCGUAGGGAAACCGAGUCUUAACUGGGCGAAUGAGUUGCAGGGUAUAGACCCGAAACCCGGUGAUCUAUCCAUGGGCAGGUUGAAGGUUGGGUAACACUAACUGGAGGACCGAACCGACUAAUGUUGAAAAAUUAGCGGAUGACUUGUGGAUGGGGGUGAAAGGCCAAUCAAACCGGGAGAUAGCUGGUUCUCCCCGAAAGCUAUUUAGGUAGCGCCUCGUGAACUCAUCUUCGGGGGUAGAGCACUGUUUCGACUAGGGGGUCAUCCCGACUUACCAACUCGAUGCAAACUGCGAAUACCGAAGAAUGUUAUCACGGGAGACACACGGCGGGUGCUAACGUCCGUCGUGAAGAGGGAAACAACCCAGACCGCCAGCUAAGGUCCCAAAGUCAUGGUUAAGUGGGAAACGAAGUGGGAAGGCUCAGACAGCCAGGAUGUUGGCUUAGAAGCAGCCAUCAUUUAAAGAAAGCGUAAUAGCUCACUGGUCGAGUCGGCCCGCGCGGAAGAUGUAACGGGGCUAAACCAUGCACCGAAGCUGCGGCAGCGACACAUAGUGUUGUUGGGUAGGGGAGCGUUCUGUAAGCCUGCGAAGGUGUACUGUGAGGUAUGCUGGAGGUAUCAGAAGUGCGAAUGCUGACAUAAGUAACGAUAAUGCGGGUGAAAAACCCGCACGCCGGAAGACCAA
This 834-nucleotide ribosomal RNA is filed under the name Proteus mirabilis. RNAcentral's name for it is "bacterial LSU rRNA". It matches the Rfam family "Bacterial large subunit ribosomal RNA", at positions 514 to 1348 of the family's 2925-position model. The record is from RNAcentral. Lineage: Bacteria; Pseudomonadati; Pseudomonadota; Gammaproteobacteria; Enterobacterales; Morganellaceae.